Molecule: ribosomal RNA, 389 nt
Filed under: Amphiprion clarkii (yellowtail clownfish)
Lineage: Eukaryota; Metazoa; Chordata; Actinopteri; Pomacentridae
Description: partial small subunit ribosomal RNA
Rfam family: Bacterial small subunit ribosomal RNA
Source: RNAcentral
CAACUACGCCCCCUAUCCGCCCGGUACUACGAGCACCAGCUUAAAACCCAAAGACUUGGCGGUGCUUCACAUCCGUCUAGAGGAGCCUGUUCUAGAACCGAUAACCCCCGUUAAACCUCACCCUCCCUUGUUAAUACCGCCUAUAUACCGCCGUCGUCAGCCUACCCUGUGAAGGACUAGAAGUGAGCAAGAUUGGUAAGACCCAAAACGUCAGGUCGAGGUGUAGUGUAUGAGAGGGGAAGAAAUGGGCUACAUUUCCUAAGUCAGGAAAUACGAAUAAUGAACUGAAAUAAGCAUUAGAAGGUGGAUUUAGCAGUAAGCAGUAAAACAGAGUGUUCUGCUGAAAUAUGGCAAUAAAGCACGCACACACCGCCCGUCACCCUCUGCAG